RNAcentral lists this ribosomal RNA (508 nucleotides) under uncultured bacterium. Its description in RNAcentral is "partial 16S ribosomal RNA". It matches the Rfam family "Bacterial small subunit ribosomal RNA", at positions 28 to 523 of the family's 1533-position model. The record is from RNAcentral.
GAUGAACGCUAGCUACAGGCUUAACACAUGCAAGUCGAGGGGAAACGAUAGAGAAAGCUUGCUUUUUCUAGGCGUCGACCGGCGCACGAGUGAGUAACGCGUAUCCAACCUGCCCAUCACUUGGGGAUAACCUUGCGAAAGUAAGACUAAUACCCAAUGAUAUCUCUAGAAGACAUCUGAAGGAGAUUAAAGAUUUAUCGGUGAUGGAUGGGGAUGCGUCUGAUUAGCUUGUUGGCGGGGUAACGGCCCACCAAGGCGACGAUCAGUAGGGGUUCUGAGAGGAAGGCCCCCCACAUUGGAACUGAGACACGGUCCAAACUCCUACGGGAGGCAGCAGUGAGGAAUAUUGGUCAAUGGGCGAGAGCCUGAACCAGCCAAGUAGCGUGCAGGAUGACGGCCCUAUGGGUUGUAAACUGCUCUUAUAAGGGAAUAAAGUGAGUCUCGUGAGGCUUUUUGCAUGUACCUUAUGAAUAAGGACCGGCUAAUUCCGUGCCAGCAGCCGCAGUAA